RNAcentral lists this ribosomal RNA (112 nucleotides) under Geodermatophilaceae bacterium. RNAcentral's name for it is "partial 16S ribosomal RNA". It matches the Rfam family "Bacterial small subunit ribosomal RNA", at positions 1 to 109 of the family's 1533-position model. The record is from RNAcentral. Lineage: Bacteria; Bacillati; Actinomycetota; Actinomycetes; Geodermatophilales; Geodermatophilaceae.
UCUAUGGAGAGUUUGAUCCUGGCUCAGGACGAACGCUGGCGGCGUGCUUAACACAUGCAAGUCGAGCGAGGCUCUGCUCUUCGGAGCGGAUGCCCUAGCGGCGAACGGGUGA